ACGGAAGGCAGCAGUGGGGAAUAUUGGGCAAUGGGCGGAAGCCUGACCCAGCGACGCCGCGUGAGGGAAGACGGUCUUCGGAUUGUAAACCUCUUUCAGCAGGGAAGAUAAUGACGGUACCUGCAGAAGAAGCCACGGCUAACUACGUGCCAGCAGCCGCGGUAAUACGUAGGUGGCAAGCGUUAUCCGGAUUUAUUGGGUGUAAAGGGUGUGUAGGCGGGACUGCAAGUCAGAAGUGAAAAUUAUGGGCUCAACCCAUAACCUGCUUUUGAAACUGUGGUUCUUGAGAGUGGGAGAGGUAAACGGAAUUCCUGGUGUAGCGGUGAAAUGCGUAGAUAUCAGGAGGAACACCGGUGGCGAAGGCGGUUUACUGGACCAUUACUGACGCUGAGACACGAAAGCGUGGGGAGCAAACAGGAUUAGAUACCCUGGUA
This 434-nucleotide ribosomal RNA is filed under the name uncultured Oscillospiraceae bacterium. RNAcentral describes it as "partial 16S ribosomal RNA". It matches the Rfam family "Bacterial small subunit ribosomal RNA", at positions 341 to 792 of the family's 1533-position model. Lineage: Bacteria; Bacillati; Bacillota; Clostridia; Eubacteriales; Oscillospiraceae. The record is from RNAcentral.